GACAACAUCACAGUCAAGUAGUUUUCCCCCUGUUUUCUUCUAAGAGUUCUAUGGUUUUAAUUUUAGAUUUAGAUCUAUCUUUACUUAAUUUUUGCACAUGAUGUAAAUCAAGGAUCCACCUCCAUUGUUUUGCCUGUGAAGACAGUUUUCCCAGAACCAUUGUUCAAAAGAUCAUUCUUUUCCUCAUCAAAUUAUCUUAGAACCCUUGCCAAAAGACAUAUGACAUGUGAGAUUUAUUUCUCUAUUUUAUUCUGUUUAUCUGUAUGAGAUGUCAAAUUUUGUUCUCCUUUGUCAAAAUUAUUCUGGAUAUUGAGGAUUACUAUGGAUUGGAUAAGUGUUCCCCAAAAAGCCUAUGUUUAGAGGAUUGGAUACUGGCCUAUUGGGAGGAGAUGGAACCUUUAGGAGGUAGGGUCUUGUGGAAAGAAGUUAGAUCAUUGUGGGCAUGCCCUUAAAAGUGAUAUUGAGAUCCUAAGCCCCUCAUGUCAUUUUUUUUUGCUUUCUGGAUACCAUGAGGUAAGCAGUUUCCUCUACCAGGCACACUCUGCCAUACCUCAAAGCCUAUGUAUCAGACUGAAGAAGCUGUGAACCAAAGUAAGCCUUUCCUUUUUUAGGUUGAUUAUCUUGGUGUUUUUAUAGUAAUAGAAAGCAUAAUAACACAAGGAUAACUUGAGAGUCCAUAUAAAUAUUAUGACAGGUUUUUCUAUUUCUGCCAAAAUAUAUCAUUAGGAUUUUGAUAGGGAUUAUAUUGAAUCUAUGUAUUGCUUUGGAUAGUAUUGACAUUAUAUUAAACCUCCAAUCUAUAAACAUUUUUAUUUAUUUAUGUCUUUUUAAAUUUCUUUCAGUAAUAUUUGUAGUUUUCAGUGUAUAAAUUUUGCUUUUGUGCUACCUUUGAUAAAUUCAAUUCCUGGGUAUUUCUGAUACACUUGUUAAAAAAAUUGUUUUCUUAGGGGUUGGGAAUGUAGCUCAGUUGGUAGAGUGCUUGCCUUGCAUGCACAAGGCCCUGGGUUCAAUCCCCAGUACCACCAUCAAAAAAAAAUGGGAGCUCAUAACCCACUUGAAUCAAAUUGUGAAAUAUGAUAUAUCAAGAACUAUGUAAUGUUUUG
Molecule: long non-coding RNA, 1103 nt
Filed under: Marmota monax (woodchuck)
Lineage: Eukaryota; Metazoa; Chordata; Mammalia; Rodentia; Sciuridae
Rfam family: tRNA (bases 953-1025)
Source: RNAcentral